CAUAGAUCUCUUCCAUGUCAUCCCUAAUGAAAAAUUCAAUCAAAUUGCUUCAAUUAUCAUUCACAAUCUGCUAAUAAUUCUUUUACCUCAAGAUUGCUCAUAGCAUUUGAAACCAGGAAGGAGAUCAUAGGGUAAAACAGCAACAAGAGGAAGAACAGGAGAUGAACACAAAAUAUUUGCCUGACAGAGCAGAUAAAGGGAAAUAAAGUAGAACUUCAAUAGACAAUAUAGAUCAGUUGUCCUGCAUGAACCAAAACACUUCAAUUUACAUCACAAAUAAUAAAUAAAAUCAAUAUUUAGAUUAAAAAUGAAAAACGAAUUACAUAAUUGUUCGCUCAAACCCCAAAAACAGAUGAGACAACCAGCUUGUAUAAG
RNAcentral lists this unclassified non-coding RNA (375 nucleotides) under Hevea brasiliensis (rubber tree). The record is from RNAcentral. Lineage: Eukaryota; Viridiplantae; Streptophyta; Magnoliopsida; Malpighiales; Euphorbiaceae.